This 521-nucleotide ribosomal RNA is filed under the name uncultured bacterium. Its description in RNAcentral is "bacterial SSU rRNA". It matches the Rfam family "Bacterial small subunit ribosomal RNA", at positions 47 to 518 of the family's 1533-position model. The record is from RNAcentral.
CCUAAGACAUGCAAGUCGAACGAAGUGGCCCGAUGAAGAGUGCGAGCUUGCUCAAUCUCGGAUUCGGAUUCCCACUUAGUGGCGCAAGGGUGAGUAACACGUGGGUAAUCUACCUUCGAGUCUGGAAUAACAGUUAGAAAUGAUUGCUAAUGCCGGAUGAUAUCGAGAACGAUACGUCAUUCUUUAUUAAAAGGGGCCUUUAAAGCCUCGCUUGAAGAUGAGCCUGCGCCGUAUUAGCUAGUUGGUGGGGUAAUGGCCUACCAAGGCAACGAUGCGUAGCCGACCUGAGAGGGUGAUCGGCCACACUGGGACUGAGACACGGCCCAGACUCCUACGGGAGACAGCAGUUAGGAAUAUUCGUCAAUGGGGGAAACCCUGAACGAGCAAUGCCGCGUGAAGGAUGAACCGGUCCUAUGGAUUGUAAACUUCUGUUGUUAGGGAAGAACGAGUUGUAUAGGAAAUGAUACAGCAAUGACGGUACCUUUCAAGAAAGCUCCGGCUAACUACGUGCCAGCAGCUGC